RNAcentral lists this ribosomal RNA (741 nucleotides) under Cuscuta palaestina. Its description in RNAcentral is "eukaryotic LSU rRNA". The stretch from base 325 to 480 matches the Rfam family "5.8S ribosomal RNA". Lineage: Eukaryota; Viridiplantae; Streptophyta; Magnoliopsida; Solanales; Convolvulaceae. The record is from RNAcentral.
UCGUGGCGACGUGGGCGGUUCGCUGCCUUCGACGUUGCGAGAAGUCCACUGAACCUUAUCAUUUAGAGGAAGGAGAAGUCGUAACAAGGUUUCCGUAGGUGAACCUGCGGAAGGAUCAUUGUCGAAACCUGCCAAGCAGUUUGACUUGAGAACUUGUGCCAAAAUACCAAUGCAAUCUCGUUGUGGUUGUGCUCUUGGGUGCGACCAUGAUGAACAACAAACCCCCGGCGCGGUAUGCGCCAAGGAUUACUGAACUGAGAUUGCUGCCUUGCCCCGCUCCGUUCGCGGUUCUGCGGGCAGUGUUAGCAUCUUUAUAAACAAUAUGACUCUCGGCAACGGAUAUCUCGGCUCUCGCAUCGAUGAAGAACGUAGCGAAAUGCGAUACUUGGUGUGAAUUGCAGAAUCCCGUGAACCAUCGAGUCUUUGAACGCAAGUUGCGCCCAAGGCCAUCAGGCUUAGGGCACGUCUGCCUGGGUGUCACGUGACUUGUCGCUCCCUUCUAGAUUUUGGGAGGAGCGGAUCAUGUCCUCCCGUGCCCUACCAUUUGGUGCGGUGGGACCAAAUGCUUGAUACUGUUGAUGGACGUUCUGCGAUUGGUGGUUGUGCCUAGAGUGCAAACGUCGUUCCACGUCCAAUCGUUUGCGGAUAUCAGACCCGUUGGAGUCAAAAAGUGAUUUGGCUUACGAAAUGCGAUCCCAGGUCAGGCGGGACUACCCGCUGAGUUUAAGCAUAUCAAUAAGC